UCAUGUCCUCCCCCUCCCCAGCACAGUCAGUUUUCCUCUCUAUAACAAACAGGCUCAGAUCUGCUAGGAUUCUCUGAUUCACUAGGGUAUGAAGAGCAGGGAAAAUGAAGGAAGGAAGGAGAGAAGUGAACGAGUAGGGGAGGGAAGGAAGGAAAGAGGAAAAGAGGGAGAGAUGGAAGGAGAAAGAAAGAACAGAAGGAAGAGGAAAGAAGGAGAGAACAAAGAAACCAAAAGAAAAAACAUUUCAAAAAGCAAGGCACUCAGGUAUCUAUCACUAUGUGCAAAACUAGAACUAUGUAGAACAUUCUUACACUCAUUUUACAGGGGAUACAAUAGCUAACCAUUAUUUUUAAUUGCAAAUAGAAGGGCAGCAUAAUCUUUUCCUUGCUUAGGGCCUUUUAAGCUCAUAAUCAGGCCCUGUUCUGGCAAAUUCCACCACCUGGAGUGUGAGUGUAUGAAGUGCAGGUGUGAUGAUGAGCUGGCCCAAACGGCCCCAGCCCUCAGUUGUAUUUAUCCAUUGGCAUUCAGUUUUGCCCCCACAAUAAACCUACCCACCGGGAUGAAAGACUGCCUUUACUUACAAACAAAUUUUAUUGGAUUUAGUUGCAUUUGGGCACACUCCUUUAUUUUUCUCCUGGCUGCAUGGGGCUAAAUAAUUGACUUGAUUAAGUCUUGCAUUGUUGACCAAUUUCUUUGAGCAUAAUGAAGCCAUCCCACAUCCACAGAAGAAGUGAGAAGCCAAUUAGUUAUGCAGCAAAAAUGCUUGCAGCAAAGAUGUCUACAGUAAAGAUGCUUAUGGAAAAAAUACCAGACACAUGGAAAGGCUCUUUUAUUGGCUCAGGAGUGAAAGAGGACUGGGCAGAUAACAUCUGCCCUUCCCAGAGAAGGCUUAAUUAUGACUCUUAAGAUUGUGGAGCGAGGCAGCAGAAAGGCCACCUGAUAUGGUUGAAGCUGCAGCCCUGGCCUCUUACCCUGUUCUGCUAUGCUUUGCUGCACUAUCCCACACAAGUUCUUGCCCCUCUGAGGAUCCGUUUGGUCAUCCCUGCCAUGAUUGUAGGGUUGAAUAAGCUUUGUAUACUCUGCAGGGCCAUGUCCUGUGCCAUGUCUGUACCACCACUGGCGACUGGGUUUCUAUUCCCAGCUUCUGUACGUUUGAGCAAGUUAAGUGCUCUGAAGAUCUGGGUCCUAAUGGAGGUGAAGCCACUCCAGAGACUACAGCAGCCUGUAGCCCCAGAUUUUCUUGGAACUUUUUCUCCCAGAGAAGAUUGACUUGGAGACCAAAAAUACCUACAGGCUACUAACAAGGUUUAAAAUGCUAAUUUAUAAUAAUAGCCAGUGAUAUUUAUUGACUGCUUACUGUGUCCCAGACACUGUGUUAAGAGCUCAUAAACCAGAGCUUUAAUUCCAAAAUUAAUACAUGAAAUGAAAUAUAGUGGAAAUACCUGGAAGAACAAAUUAGAGAAAAUUAAAUGAAAAUGAUUGCCCAUAAACUGUGUUCCAUCCAUCUGGAACCAUUCAUUUUUCCAUGAUCAUUUCCUUGGUGCCAACUCCGGGCCCAGCAUCUUGGAUGUCAUCCCUGUACCCACGGCUUCACUGGAAACUAUUAGCAGUGCCAUGGCAUGUCGGAGAUGAGUUACUCAGGAUGUCCCUUUGACAGCGUGUCUGGACCUGUGCCCUGGUUACGAAUCAGCCUUAGUCUCUUCCAAAAGUCUCUGCCCACUGGCCACCUUCCCAAACUUCUCUGCUCCCUACAAGUGGAUGAUACGAAAAGAGCCAGCAAGGCAUUGGAAAGUCACAGGUGUCCUGUCCUUGCCCACUAUGGCUAGUGCAGUCAUCCAUUUCCUUGUAGGGACUGGUAGACAAGGGUCAUACUUCAGUUUCUCUAAAGCAUUCAGGCCUGAGACAGUGCUUCUGGGAAGAUUCCUGAGAAGUGGUGCAAACCCUGAGGGUCACGCUGCCUGGGUGCAAAACCCAGGCAGAAAGUGGCGAGGCCACAGCCAUCAAUAAUGCACAGGA
Bubalus bubalis (water buffalo) is the source of this 2016-nucleotide long non-coding RNA. RefSeq lists it as uncharacterized. The record is from RefSeq and is a predicted model, not a curated record. The transcript has 3 exons. NCBI's taxonomy places the organism in Eukaryota, Metazoa, Chordata, Mammalia, Artiodactyla, Bovidae.